GGUGAACGCUGGCGGCGUGCCUAACACAUGCAAGUCGAUCGGAGCAGCAAUGCUUAGAGGCGAACGGGUGAGGAAAACGUAGUAACCAACCCUUUAGACUGGGAUAGCCACUGGAAACGGUGGGUAAUACCGGAUAAGCUCGAGAGAGGAAAGGCAGAGAAGCGCUAAAGGACGGAACUGCGCCCCAUCAGAUAGUUGGUGAGGUAAAGGCUUACCAAGUCAAAGACGGGAAACCGACGUGAGAGCGUGUACGGUCACAAGGGCACUGAGAGACGGGCCCUACUCCUACGGGAGGCAGCAGUAGGGAAUAUUGCAAAAUGGGCGCAAGCCCGAUGCAGCAACGCCGCGUGGGCGAUGAAGGCCUUCGGGUCGUAAAGCCCUUUUGAGGGGAUGAGGAAGGACAGUACCCUCAGAAUAAGCCUCGGCUAACUACGUGCCAGCAGCCGCGGUAAGACGUAGCGUG
Molecule: ribosomal RNA, 463 nt
Filed under: uncultured bacterium
Lineage: Bacteria
Description: bacterial SSU rRNA
Rfam family: Bacterial small subunit ribosomal RNA
Source: RNAcentral